ACGUUAUUUAAAAAUUAUGGAUAUUGAGAAAAUAAAAGUAUAGUAUUUUAAUGGUGUUAUUAUGUAUAUUAGUUGUGUAAAGGAAAUUAUUUAGAAGGGAAAUUUGUAAGUAGUUUUUUAGGAUUUUUAAGUAGUUUUUUAGGAUAGGAAUAUUUUAUGUAUAUUAAAUGUUGUUAAUAUAUGUUCUUUUAAUGUUUAUGAUUUUUGGAUGAUGU
RNAcentral lists this unclassified non-coding RNA (215 nucleotides) under Hevea brasiliensis (rubber tree). Lineage: Eukaryota; Viridiplantae; Streptophyta; Magnoliopsida; Malpighiales; Euphorbiaceae. The record is from RNAcentral.